GAUGAACGCUGGCGGCGUGCCUAAUACAUGCAAGUCGAGCGAACAGACGAGGAGCUUGCUCCUCUGACGUUAGCGGCGGACGGGUGAGUAACACGUGGAUAACCUACCUAUAAGACUGGGAUAACUUCGGGAAACCGGAGCUAAUACCGGAUAACAUGUUGAACCGCAUGGUUCAACAGUGAAAGACGGUCUUGCUGUCACUUAUAGAUGGAUCCGCGCCGCAUUAGCUAGUUGGUAAGGUAACGGCUUACCAAGGCAACGAUGCGUAGCCGACCUGAGAGGGUGAUCGGCCACACUGGAACUGAGACACGGUCCAGACUCCUACGGGAGGCAGCAGUAGGGAAUCUUCCGCAAUGGGCGAAAGCCUGACGGAGCAAUGCCGCGUGAGUGAUGAAGGUCUUCGGAUCGUAAAACUCUGUUAUUAGGGAAGAACAAAUGUGUAAGUAACUAUGCACGUCUUGACGGUACCUAAUCAGAAAGCCACGGCUAACUACGUG
RNAcentral lists this ribosomal RNA (497 nucleotides) under uncultured bacterium. RNAcentral's name for it is "partial 16S ribosomal RNA". It matches the Rfam family "Bacterial small subunit ribosomal RNA", at positions 28 to 507 of the family's 1533-position model. The record is from RNAcentral.